This 65-nucleotide transfer RNA is filed under the name uncultured Bacteroides sp. It matches the Rfam family "tRNA", at positions 5 to 66 of the family's 71-position model. From Rfam's summary of the family: Transfer RNA (tRNA) molecules are approximately 80 nucleotides in length. Their secondary structure includes four short double-helical elements and three loops (D, anti-codon, and T loops). Lineage: Bacteria; Pseudomonadati; Bacteroidota; Bacteroidia; Bacteroidales; Bacteroidaceae. The record is from RNAcentral.
CUGUAGUUCAGUUGGUUAGAGCGUCAGAUUGUGGUUCUGAAUGUCGUGGGUUCGAAUCCCAUCAG